CUGAUCUGGAAAAUACAAGCCUCCCAAAUCCGGGGCUCAGAGCAUGAUACACCAAGGCCCUCCCAUGAGGAGACUCGGAGCACCAGCCACUAUGGCCAGCUUUGCCCUCAAAGGACACUGGAGGGGCCACACCUGGCAGUAGACACAAGACAGGUAAUUCGUUCUUGGGGACCCUGGAGCCCACCGGGGCCCCACUUCCCAUGACAG
This 207-nucleotide long non-coding RNA is filed under the name Mustela putorius furo (domestic ferret). RNAcentral's name for it is "lncRNA (ENSMPUG00000029350.1)". The record is from RNAcentral. Lineage: Eukaryota; Metazoa; Chordata; Mammalia; Carnivora; Mustelidae.